GACGAACGCUGGCGGCGUGCCUAAUACAUGCAAGUAGAACGCUGAAGGGAGGAGCUUGCUCUUCUUGGAUGAGUUGCGAACGGGUGAGUAACGCGUAGGUAACCUGCCUGGUAGCGGGGGAUAACUAUUGGAAACGAUAGCUAAUACCGCAUAACAUUGAUUAUUGCAUGAUAACUAAUUGAAAGAUGCAACUGCAUCACUACCAGAUGGACCUGCGUUGUAUUAGCUAGUUGGUGAGGUAACGGCUCACCAAGGCGACGAUACAUAGCCGACCUGAGAGGGUGAUCGGCCACACUGGGACUGAGACACGGCCCAGACUCCUACGGGAGGCAGCAGUAGGGAAUCUUCGGCAAUGGGGGGAAGCCUGACCGAGCAACGCCGCGUGAGUGAAGAAGGUUUUCGGAUCGUAAAGCUCUGUUGUAAGAGAAGAACGAGUGUGAGAGUGGAAAGUUCACACUGUGACGGUAUCUUACCAGAAAGGGACGGCUAACUACGUG
Molecule: ribosomal RNA, 497 nt
Filed under: uncultured bacterium
Lineage: Bacteria
Description: partial 16S ribosomal RNA
Rfam family: Bacterial small subunit ribosomal RNA
Source: RNAcentral